UGAUCCUGGCUCAGAACGAACGCUGGCGGCGCGUUUAAGCAUGCAAGUCGAGGGAUAGAGAAUCUUCGGAUUCUUGAGACCGGCGAACGGGUGAGUAACACGUAGGUGAUCUGCCACGAGGUUGGGGAUAGCCCAUGGAAACAUGGGGUAAUACCGAAUGAGCUCUUUUUACUAUGGUGAGAAGAGGAAAAGCGCUUCGGCGCUGCCUUGUGAUGAGCCUGCGGCUGAUUAGCUAGUUGGUGGGGUAACGGCCUACCAAGGCAACGAUCAGUACCCGGCCUGAGAGGGUGAUCGGCCACACUGGGACUGAGAUACGGCCCAGACUCCUACGGGAGGCAGCAGCUAAGAAUCUUCCGCAAUGGACGAAAGUCUGACGGAGCGACGCCGCGUGGGUGAAGAAGGCCGAGAGGUUGUAAAGCCCUUUUCUGUCUGAGGAAUAAGCUUGGGAGGGAAUGCCCGAGUGAUGACGGUAGGACAGGAAUAAGCCCCGGCUAAUUACGUGCCAGCAGCCGCGGUAACACGUAUGGGGCGAGCGUUGUUCGGAAUUAUUGGGCGUAAAGGGCGCGUAGGCGGAUAUACAAGUCUGGUGUGAAAGACCGCAGCUUAACUGCGGGAGCGCGCUGGAAACUGUAUGUCUUGAAUCCUUGAGGGGAAACUGGAAUUCCUGGUGUAGGGGUGAAAUCUGUAGAUAUCAGGAAGAACAUCGGUGGCGAAGGCGAGUUUCUGGCAAGUGAUUGACGCUGAGGCGCGAAAGCGUGGGGAGCAAACAGGAUUAGAUACCCUGGUAGUCCACGCUGUAAACGAUGUGCACUAGGCGUUGGGGUGUUGAAACCUCAGUGCCGGAGCUAACGUGGUAAGUGCACCGNCUGGGGAGUAUGCCGGCAACGGUGAAACUCAAAGGAAUUGACGGGGGCCCGGACAAGCGGUGGAGCAUGUGGUUUAAUUCGAUGAUA
Molecule: ribosomal RNA, 953 nt
Filed under: uncultured organism
Description: bacterial SSU rRNA
Rfam family: Bacterial small subunit ribosomal RNA
Source: RNAcentral